Molecule: long non-coding RNA, 1285 nt
Filed under: Mus musculus (house mouse)
Lineage: Eukaryota; Metazoa; Chordata; Mammalia; Rodentia; Muridae
Description: predicted gene, 47904
Source: RNAcentral
AAAAAAAAAAAUGAAAGCAAAACCCCAACCAGAAAAAUGAAUAGCACCUUAAAAAUACCAACUAAGGCUUCCAGUCGGCAUCAGCCCUGUGCCACCUUAGGCACAAACUCUGCGGUCAUCCCAAGGUCCCCAGAGGAUUCUCCACGACUCUCCAAGCCACAGGCGCCCUAGCACACCCAGGAUCUUAGGAUCACUGGUGAGUGGAACACAACAUCUGUUCUAAAACAACCCAGAGGGGCUUGUGCUAAUAGGAACAGGAACAAAGGAAACUCACCUGCCCAAAACCUGCCUGCCCAGCGACUGGGGUUUCUUUCAGUUGGUGCCAGCCCCGUGCCACGUUGGGCACGAUCUUGGCCAAUGGUCCCAUGGUCCCCAGAGGACUCUCUACAUCACAGGUGCCCUAGCACACCCAGGAUCUUAGGAUCACUGAGGAGAGUCGGCCUCCAGAGAGGGCUCUGAUCCAGGGACUCAGGUGAGAGUGCAAUCUUGUAUCCCAGGUCUCACAGAGACCAGUCUGCACAGGAGAGCAUGUGGGCCCCAGAAGCAACAGAGCUUCUUGGAGAGGGUCCUUUCAGGCCUUCAUCCUCAGCCAAGCGGCAGAGCUGAGACCCAGACCUCUGGGCACCUUCCCUGCAAGAAGAGAGCUUGCCUGCAGAGAAUGCUCUGACCACUGGACUCAGGAGAGAGUUGGACACCCAGGAGUGCUGACAGAGGCUAACAGGAUCACAGAAGGAAUAAGCUCCAGCCAAAGACAGCUAGAACAUCUAACACCAGAGAUUACCAGAUGGCGAAAGGCAAACAUAAGAAUCUUACUAACAGAAACCAAAACCACAGGGCAUCAUCAGAACCCAGUACGCCUAACACAGAAAGUCCUGGAUACCCCAACACACACACGAAAAGCAAGAUUCAAAUUUAAAAUCAUAAUUCAUGAUGCUGGUAGAGGAUUUUAAGAAGGACAUUAAUAACUCACUUAAAGAAAUACAGGAGAACACUGCUGAAAAGGUAGAAUACCUUAAGAGGAAACACAAAAAUCCCUUAAAGAAUUACAGGAAAACACAACCAAGCAGGUGAUGGAAUUGAACAAGAUCAAAAAAAUGGAAGUAGAAACAAUAAAGAAAAUCCAAAAUGAGACAGCGCUAAAGAUAGAAACCCUAGGAAAGAAAUCAGGAACCAUAGAUGUGAGCAUCAGCAACAGAAUACAAGAGAUGGAAGAGAGAAUCUCAGGUGCGGAAGAUACCAUAGAAAACAUAGACACAACAAUCAAAGAAAAUGCAAAUCCCAAAAA